AAUUUCUUGUCGGAGUGCCUUAACUGGCUGAGACCGUUUAUUCGGGAUCCGCGGAACCUGAUCAGGCUAAUACCUGCGAAGGGAACAAGAGUUAAUCUGCU
Shigella dysenteriae Sd197 is the source of this 101-nucleotide regulatory RNA element. It matches the Rfam family "TPP riboswitch aptamer (THI element)". From Rfam's summary of the family: Vitamin B(1) in its active form thiamin pyrophosphate (TPP) is an essential coenzyme that is synthesised by coupling of pyrimidine and thiazole moieties in bacteria. The previously detected thiamin-regulatory element, thi box was extended, resulting in a new, highly conserved RNA secondary structure, the THI element, which is widely distributed in eubacteria and also occurs in some archaea. The record is from Rfam. NCBI's taxonomy places the organism in Bacteria, Pseudomonadati, Pseudomonadota, Gammaproteobacteria, Enterobacterales, Enterobacteriaceae.